This 446-nucleotide ribosomal RNA is filed under the name uncultured bacterium. RNAcentral describes it as "partial 16S ribosomal RNA". It matches the Rfam family "Bacterial small subunit ribosomal RNA", at positions 338 to 795 of the family's 1533-position model. The record is from RNAcentral.
CCUACGGGGGGCAGCAGUCGAGAAUCAUUCACAAUGGGGGAAACCCUGAUGGUGCGACGCCGCGUGGGUGAAUGAAGGUCUUCGGAUUGUAAACCCCUGUCAUGUGGGAGCAAAUUAAAAAGAUAGUACCACAAGAGGAAGAGACGGCUAACUCUGUGCCAGCAGCCGCGGUAAUACAGAGGGCUCAAGCGUUGUUCGGAAUCACUGGGCGUAAGGCGUGCGUAGGCUGUUUCGUAAGUCGUGUGUGAAAGGCGCGGGCUCAACCCGCGGACGGCACAUGAUACUGCGAGACUAGAGUAAUGGAGGGGGAACCGGAAUUCUCGGUGGAGCAGUGAAAUGCGUAGAUAUCGAGAGGAACACUCGGGGCGAAGGCGGGUUACUGGACAUUAACUGACGCUGAGGCACGAAGGCCAGGGGAGCGAAAGGGAUUAGAUACCCCAGUAGUC